This 496-nucleotide ribosomal RNA is filed under the name uncultured bacterium. RNAcentral describes it as "partial 16S ribosomal RNA". It matches the Rfam family "Bacterial small subunit ribosomal RNA", at positions 28 to 506 of the family's 1533-position model. The record is from RNAcentral.
GACGAACGCUGGCGGCGUGCCUAAUACAUGCAAGUUGAGCGCUGAAGGUUGGUACUUGUACCAACUGGAUGAGCAGCGAACGGGUGAGUAACGCGUGGGGAAUCUGCCUUUGAGCGGGGGGCAACAUUUGGAAACGAAUGCUAAUACCGCAUAAAAACUUUAAACACAAGUUUUAAGUUUGAAAGAUGCAAUUGCAUCACUCAAAGAUGAUCCCGCGUUGUAUUAGCUAGUCGGUGAGGUAAAGGCUCACCAAGGCGAUGAUACAUAGCCGACCUGAGAGGGUGAUCGGCCACAUUGGGACUGAGACACGGCCCAAACUCCUACGGGAGGCAGCAGUAGGGAAUCUUCGGCAAUGGACGAAAGUCUGACCGAGCAACGCCGCGUGAGUGAAGAAGGUUUUCGGAUCGUAAAACUCUGUUGGUAGAGAAGAACGUUGGUGAGAGUGGAAAGCUCAUCAAGUGACGGUAACUACCCAGAAAGGGACGGCUAACUACGU